CUAUAGACUACAGAUGCUGGAAUGCUCUGUAAUCGAAAGUUCCGACGCCUUAGGAUGGAUCUGCGGCCGAUUAGGUUGUUGUCGGGGUAAUGGCCCAACAAGCCAGUGAUCGGUACGGGUUGUGGGAGCAAGAGCCCGGAGUUGGAUUCUGAGACACGAAUCCAGGCCCUACGGGGCGCAGCAGGCGCGAAAACUUUACAAUGCGGGCAACCGUGAUAAGGGAACCUCGAGUGCCUGUAUAUGCAGGCUGUCCAGGUGUCUAAAACACACCUGAAGAAAGGGCCGGGCAAGACCGGUGCCAGCCGCCGCGGUAAUACCGGCGGCUCGAGUGGUGGCCACUUUUAUUGGGCUUAAAGCGUUCGUAGCUGGGUUGUUAAGUCUCUUGGGAAAUCUGGCGGCUUAACCGUCAGGCGUCUAAGGGAUACUGGCAAUCUUGGAACCGGGAGAGGUGAGGGGUACUUCGGGGGUAGGAGUGAAAUCCUGUAAUCCUCGAGGGACCACCUGUGGCGAAGGCGCCUCACCAGAACGGCUUCGACAGUGAGGGACGAAAGCUGGGGGAGCAAACCGGAUUAGAUACCCGGGUAGUCCCAGCCGUAAACGAUGCGCGUUAGGUGUAUCGGUGACCACGAGUCACCGAGGUGCCGAAGGGAAACCGUGAAACGUGCCGCCUGGGGAAGUACGGUCGCAAGGCUGAAACUUAAAGGAAUUGGCGGGGGAGCGCCACAACGGGUGGAGCCUGCGGUUUAAUUGGACUCAACGCCGGAAAUCUCACCGGAUAAGACAGCUGAAUGAUUGCCGGGCUGAAGACUCUGCAUGACUAGCUGAGAGGAGGUGCAUGGGCCGUCGUCA
This 849-nucleotide ribosomal RNA is filed under the name uncultured Methanoculleus sp. RNAcentral's name for it is "bacterial SSU rRNA". It matches the Rfam family "Archaeal small subunit ribosomal RNA", at positions 154 to 1006 of the family's 1478-position model. Lineage: Archaea; Methanobacteriati; Methanobacteriota; Methanomicrobia; Methanomicrobiales; Methanomicrobiaceae. The record is from RNAcentral.